UCAAGCCUGACUGGAGUUGUCUCUUUUGCAAGCACAGAUGACAGAAAAGAGAUAGAUAAAUUCCUCAGUUGCCAAAAACCAACGUCCAUCUCCACUGUAUACAAUUGGGAAUUCAUAAUUUUGUUGUCCAUUAACACCAAAAGGCAAUACUUCAAAUGUAGAAAAUGUCCAGUAUAAUUAAUAAAAGUAAAAAAAUAUACAAACAGAAUUGGCAGGAAUUCUGUUCUCUGGUCACUACAAGGUGGCAACCGGGGCAGCCCUGCUCAUGUACCGACGCGGAACCAAGAAUAAGCACAGUGAGACUGACUAGCUCUGCUAAGCCGGGAAUCUGCAGCUCCUGUCCCAACUGCAGAAAUUAUGCCAUUGGCAGAGAGAGAGACCUAAUUUUAAUAAUUUAAGUGGCAACGCCCCCACCUGUGACCCAGUUUCAUAUGUAACUGUCCCGAACACUGCCAUUCAAAACACACAGAGAACAUAGGAAGCAGCCCGGGACAGGAUGAGGAGUUCUCACUGGGAAACCGUUAGGAAACCUUUCUCCAAUACUUCUUGUUUCUUAAUUAAAAAUGUUACUGUCAGCUUCAACCUUUGUCAUCUUCAAUGUAACUAAAAUGAACAGGGUUAGGGUUAUAGAGGAUCCACUGCAGUGGGAGUUGUGACUGUACUCUAUAGGUGUAACCAUAAACAGGGUUAGGGUUAUAGGGGAUCCACUGCAGUGGGAGUUGUGACUGUACUCUAUAGGUGUAACCAUAAACAGGGUUAGGGUUAUAGGGGAUCCACUGCAGUGGGAGUUGUGACUGUACUCUAUAGGUGUAACCAUAAACAGGGUUAGGGUUAUAGGGGAUCCACUGCAGUGGGAGUUGUGACUGUACUCUAUAGGUGUAACCAUAAACAGGGUUAGGGUUAUAGGGGAUCCACUGCAGUGGGAGUUGUGACUGUACUCUAUAGGUGUAACCAUAAACAGGGUUAGGGUUAUAGGGGAUCCACUGCAGUGGGAGUUGUGACUGUACUCUAUAGGUGUAACCAUAAACAGGGUUAGGGUUAUAGGGGAUCCACUGCAGUGGGAGUUGUGACUGUACUCUAUAGGUGUAACCAUAAACAGGGUUAGGGUUAUAGGGGAUCCACUGCAGUGGGAGUUGUGACUGUACUCUAUAGGUGUAACCAUAAACAGGGUUAGGGUUAUAGGGGAUCCACUGCAGUGGGAGUUGUGACUGUACUCUAUAGGUGUAACCAUAAACAGGGUUAGGGUUAUAGGGGAUCCACUGCAGUGGGAGUUGUGACUGUACUCUAUAGGUGUAACCAUAAACAGGGUUAGGGUUAUAGGGGAUCCACUGCAGUGGGAGUUGUGACUGUACUCUAUAGGUGUAACCAUAAACAGGGUUAGGGUUAUAGGGGAUCCACUGCAGUGGGAGUUGUGACUGUACUCUAUAGGUGUAACCAUAAACAGUCUCCUGUUUGAAAACACCAACAAACUAAAAACGUUGGCACCUUUGUGUAGAAAUGCUAACCGUCAUCACAGAACAGAUGGAUCAGAAAUAGAGCAGGGUGAAACGAGGCUAAGGAGUUAGUCACUAACCUACAUGUAGCCUUAUGAAAUGAGAGACAGAAACAACCUAGAUCCAAAUAUAAAGGUCCUGAACAACUGACAUGUCCCCCCCUCUAACAGACACAAUACAUUGUCAU
Molecule: long non-coding RNA, 1680 nt
Organism: Oncorhynchus keta (chum salmon)
Lineage: Eukaryota; Metazoa; Chordata; Actinopteri; Salmoniformes; Salmonidae
Exons: 3
Source: RefSeq, a predicted model, not a curated record